This 523-nucleotide long non-coding RNA is filed under the name Fukomys damarensis (Damara mole-rat). RNAcentral describes it as "lncRNA (ENSFDAG00000026481.1)". Lineage: Eukaryota; Metazoa; Chordata; Mammalia; Rodentia; Bathyergidae. The record is from RNAcentral.
GUGCAGACAGCGUCUCUGUUCCAUUUUCUUCUAAGUGAAAUGGACGUGAUCUGAAGGUGCUCAAGGACAUGGCCAGCGCUGCGGCCAGACGCAGACGGGAAGGCAGAGCCAGCAUGGCCUGGGCUUGGUAUGCCGCUGAUAAGGCUCCUGUCUCGUGGAUUACAGGCAGGAUCAACUUUUGGGUUGUGUGAGAGCUGUGAGAAUCCUUUCUCAAGUUCAUUGUCAAGUGAGGAGCAGAGGAGCUGGAGCCGUGGGGCGAGGCUCCGGCCUCAGUCGCUGCGCUUCCCCGCUUCAGAGCUGAUGUUCAUGCUCCUGCUGGGCUCCUGCAGUGGAGAGCGUGGAUGUUCCUGUGUCCAGGCCCCCACUGGUGCCUGAGGAGAAAUGGGUGAGUGCAUUGCUAGGAAACCCCUCUCUGGUGCAGACAGGAAAUGUUCCCAGACAAAGCUCCUUGAGCACCCUCCUCCUGACCCAGGUGUUGGCUCCACCCGGAGGGCCCCAGGAGGCUGGUUCUGCUUUGUUCAAG